UACGUAGGGUGCAAGCGUUGUCCGGAAUUAUUGGGCGUAAAGAGCUCGUAGGCGGUUUGUCGCGUCGAAUGUGAAAACCCGGGGCUCAACUCCGGGCCUGCAUUCGAUACGGGCAGACUAGAGUUCGGUAGGGGAGUCUGGAAUUCCUGGUGUAGCGGUGAAAUGCGCAGAUAUCAGGAGGAACACCGGUGGCGAAGGCGGGACUCUGGGCCGAUACUGACGCUGAGGAGCGAAAGCGUGGGUAGCGAACAGG
Molecule: ribosomal RNA, 253 nt
Filed under: uncultured bacterium
Lineage: Bacteria
Description: partial 16S ribosomal RNA
Rfam family: Bacterial small subunit ribosomal RNA
Source: RNAcentral